UUUUAUGGAGAGUUUGAUCCUGGCUCAGGAUGAACGCUGGCGGCGUGCUUAACACAUGCAAGUCGAACGGAAAGGCCCUGCUUGCAGGGUACUCGAGUGGCGAACGGGUGAGUAACACGUGGGUGAUCUGCCUCGUACUUCGGGAUAAGCCUGGGAAACUGGGUCUAAUACCGGAUAGGACCGGCCUUUAGUGUGGUUGGUGGAAAGUUUUGUCGGUACGAGAUGAGCCCGCGGCCUAUCAGCUUGUUGGUGGGGUAAUGGCCUACCAAGGCGACGACGGGUAGCCGGCCUGAGAGGGUGUACGGCCACAUUGGGACUGAGACACGGCCCAGACUCCUACGGGAGGCAGCAGUGGGGAAUAUUGCACAAUGGGCGGAAGCCUGAUGCAGCGACGCCGCGUGAGGGAUGACGGCCUUCGGGUUGUAAACCUCUUUCGCUAGGGAAGAAGCCACGUGUGGUGACGGUACCUGGAUAAGAAGCACCGGCUAACUACGUGCCAGCAGCCGCGGUAAUACGUAGGGUGCAAGCGUUGUCCGGAAUUACUGGGCGUAAAGAGCUCGUAGGUGGUUUGUCGCGUCGUUAGUGAAAGCCCGGGGCUUAACUCCGGGUCUGCUGGCGAUACGGGCAUAACUUGAGUGCUGUAGGGGAGACUGGAAUUCCUGGUGUAGCGGUGGAAUGCGCAGAUAUCAGGAGGAACACCGAUGGCGAAGGCAGGUCUCUGGGCAGUAACUGACGCUGAGGAGCGAAAGCAUGGGUAGCGAACAGGAUUAGAUACCCUGGUAGUCCAUGCCGUAAACGGUGGGCGCUAGGUGUGGGGG
Molecule: ribosomal RNA, 818 nt
Filed under: Corynebacterium sp. HMSC28B08
Lineage: Bacteria; Bacillati; Actinomycetota; Actinomycetes; Mycobacteriales; Corynebacteriaceae
Description: bacterial SSU rRNA
Rfam family: Bacterial small subunit ribosomal RNA
Source: RNAcentral